Molecule: ribosomal RNA, 1474 nt
Filed under: metagenome
Description: bacterial LSU rRNA
Rfam family: Bacterial large subunit ribosomal RNA
Source: RNAcentral
CAAGCGAUGGGGUGACGCAGGAAGGUAGCUGGGCCAGUCAGUGGUUGUACUGGUGUAAGAGUGUAGGCCGUGACAUAGGCAAAUCCGUGUCACAUUAAGGCUGAGACUUGAUGCAUACCCGUUGUGGGGAAUUCAGUGAUCCUAUGCUGCCGAGAAAAGCCUCUAGUGAGUUCAUACACGGCCCGUACCCCAAACCGACACAGGUGAUCAGGUAGAGAAUACCAAGGCGAUCGAGAGAACUGUGGUUAAGGAACUCGGCAAAAUGCCCCCGUAACUUCGGGAGAAGGGGGACCAUGCCCGGUGAACAUCUUCACGGUGGGAGCUGGGUGUGGUCGCAGAGACCAGAGAGAAGCGACUGUUUACUAAAAACACAGGUCCGUGCGAAGACGUAAGUCGAUGUAUACGGACUGACGCCUGCCCGGUGCUGGAAGGUUAAGAGGACCGGUUAGCCGUAAGGCGAAGCUGAGAAUUUAAGCCCCAGUAAACGGCGGUGGUAACUAUAACCAUCCUAAGGUAGCGAAAUUCCUUGUCGGGUAAGUUCCGACCUGCACGAAUGGCGUAACGACUUCUCUGCUGUCUCGACCACAGACUCGGCGAAAUUGCACUACGAGUAAAGAUGCUCGUUACGCGCGGCAGGACGAAAAGACCCCGGGACCUUUACUAUAGCUUGGUAUUGGCGUUCGAUUCGGUUUGUGUAGGAUAGGUGGGAGACUGUGAAGCAUGCACGCCAGUGUGUGUGGAGUCGUUGUUGAAAUACCACUCUGAUCGUAUUGGACGUCUAACCUCGGCCCAUGAUCUGGGUUAGGGACAGUGCCUGGUGGGUAGUUUAACUGGGGCGGUUGCCUCCUAAAGAGUAACGGAGGCGCCCAAAGGUUCCCUCAGCCUGGAUGGCAAUCAGGUUUGAGUGCAAGUGCACAAGGGAGCUUGACUGUGAGACUGACACGUCGAGCAGGGACGAAAGUCGGGACUAGUGAUCCGGCACCGGCAAGUGGAAGCGGUGUCGCUCAACGGAUAAAAGGUACCCCGGGGAUAACAGGCUGAUCUUCCCCAAGAGUCCAUAUCGACGGGAUGGUUUGGCACCUCGAUGUCGGCUCGUCGCAUCCUGGGGCUGGAGUAGGUCCCAAGGGUUGGGCUGUUCGCCCAUUAAAGCGGCACGCGAGCUGGGUUUAGAACGUCGUGAGACAGUUCGGUCUCUAUCCGCCGCGCGCGUAAGAAACUUGAGGAAGGCUGUCCCUAGUACGAGAGGACCGGGACGGACGAACCUCUGGUGUGCCAGUUGUUUCACCAGGAGCAUGGCUGGUUAGCUACGUUCGGAAGGGAUAACCGCUGAAAGCAUCUAAGCGGGAAGCCUGUUCCAAGAUGAGGUUUCUCACCACCUUGCGUGGUUAAGGCCCCCUACAGACCAUGGGGUUGAUAGGCCGGAACUGGAAGCGCAGCAAUGCGUGGAGGUGACCGGUACUAAUAGGCCGAGGGU